GCAUAAUCAAUUGUCUUUUAAUUAAAGGCUUGUAUGAAUGGUUGAAUGAGAUAUAAUCUAUUUUUAUUUUAAUAUAAAUGAAUUUAUAUUUUUAGUAAAAAUACUAAAUUGAUAACAAAAGACGAGAAGACCCUAUAAAUCUUUAUUUUAUUUUAAAUUUAAAAUAUUAAGUAGACUAAAUUUAAUUUUUAAUAUAAAAUUUUAUUGGGGUGAUAAUGAAAUUUAAAUAACUUUUAUUUAUUUUUAUUAAUAUAAUUAAAUUUUUGAUCCCAUUAAUAAUGAUUAUAAAAUUAAGUUACUUU
This 302-nucleotide ribosomal RNA is filed under the name Culicoides montanus. Its description in RNAcentral is "partial large subunit ribosomal RNA". The record is from RNAcentral. Lineage: Eukaryota; Metazoa; Arthropoda; Insecta; Diptera; Ceratopogonidae.